UGUUCUGUGGCUUAGUUGGUCAAGGCGCCGGUCUAGCGAAUAUGGAGUUGUGGGUUCAAAUCUCACCGGAACGC
This is a non-coding RNA of Aedes albopictus (Asian tiger mosquito), 74 nucleotides long. The record is from Rfam. NCBI's taxonomy places the organism in Eukaryota, Metazoa, Arthropoda, Insecta, Diptera, Culicidae.